CCUACGGGUGGCAGCAGUGAGGAAUAUUGGUCAAUGGGCGAGAGCCUGAACCAGCCAAGCCGCGUGAGGGAUGACGGCCCUAUGGGUUGUAAACUUCUUUUGUAGGGGAAUACAGUCAGGGACGUGUUCCGCAGUGCGUGUACUUUAUGAACAAGGAUCGCGUAACUCCGCGCCAGCAGCCGCGGUAAUACGGGGGAUGCGAGCGUUAUCCGGAUUUAUUGGGUUUAAAGGGUGCGUAGGUGGUUCGUUAUGUCAGUGGUAAAAUUGCGGGGCUAAACGGCGACGAGCCGUUGAAUCUGGCAGACUUGAGUAGGCGAGAGGUAGGCGGAAUGCGCGGUGUAGCGGUGAAAUGCUUAGAUAUCGCGAAGAACUCCGAUGGCGAAGGCAGUUUACCGGC
Molecule: ribosomal RNA, 397 nt
Filed under: uncultured bacterium
Lineage: Bacteria
Description: partial 16S ribosomal RNA
Rfam family: Bacterial small subunit ribosomal RNA
Source: RNAcentral